CACUGUGCAACAACAAGAAAAAUGGCAUGAGGUCUGGGAAAGAGAGCGACGCGGCACCUGAAAACCCUCAAGCAAGGCCCACGCUGCGGGUUCGGGGCAAUUCAGACCCAGAUCUACAAAAGCAGAUGGUGAAACCGAGACGUGGGCCGGGAGAGGCAAAUUUAAGCGCGCGCGGUUCUGCGUACUCCCUUGCUAGGAACGGCGUUGCCCUGGAAAGGUCUGCUGGCACAGGACCGGGAACGGAUAUGCAGAGAGUCACAGGGUAACUUUAGGACUCGCUGCUCUGUUAAGGAUCAGGCACGAUCGGUUCUGCGUUGCAACGCGUGCUCAGAGCCAGAACCGCCUGGGUGGUGGCUGUCGGCAGGAAAACGCCUGAGCGCUAUGUUCACAAAAGCCUUCAGAAAACACUAAAUGUAUUGUUUCCAUUAUUUGGGACCUCCCUUUCUGCGCACACAACCAUCCGAGACGGUCCUUUUGGUGCCAGCUAGAUGAGGCUAGACGCCUCACACAAGGGCAACGCAGCUGGCCAUCUCCCCUCGUCCCACAAGUACGUGCGCUCCUGGAUUUUCCAUCUUUAAAGAGAGGUAAGCACACAGCUGACCUCCCUUCCUUCGGCCCCAAGGCAGAAAUCAAUCUGUGCCAUUCAGGUUGUCACCAAACCCAAAUACACGCAGCCUAGAGGCUCGGCUCGCGCUGUUCCUCCAUACGUUACCCGGUUUUCUACCUAAACGGCCUGCAAUUUGCAACUGCUGAGUUCCCUGAGCGCGCAGAUGGACUUCUCCUCAUCGCUCCUUGCCCAGCAGCAAACUGCCGCAAGGGCAAAAGGAUGAGCAGACCUCCGCCUGCGCGCCUAAAAUACUGGAUUCCGACAAAUAAGGCGUCUUACACGAAGAAGGUCUGCUCCCGGGCGGUGGUACGUAUCACACUAAGCUAGAAUCGAGGCACGUAAAUGCACGGGCUAACAAACUUUCUGACCCUUUGCCAGAACAAGCAGGACCUUGCGCACAGAAGCUUGCUCCGCAGGCAAAAGAAAGCGCAGCUAGCAGCUUCGACCUCCUUGGCUCGGAGGAGGCAGGAAUAGGUGCGAGUGAGUCCCUCGGGAUUCGGGGCAAGCGCUCCCUGCGCGGACCUGCUGCCGGGAGAGCUCAGAGCAAGAGCCGCGCAGAGUUUCCCCCUCACCUCUUCCAGCAAGCACUUACUUUUCGGAGGAUCUUCCCGCAGGGUGGCCAGCCCAGCCCCUGGGCCAGGCCGUUGAGGAACCAGAGCCCCGCGAAGGCCGUGACGGCGGAGCUCCAGGAGAACACCACGUUGACCAGGCCCACCAUCAGCAGCCCGGAGGAGAAGAGCCAGCGGGCGCUCGCCCGGUCGGAGAGGACGCCGCUGACGAACUUGCUGACGGCGUAGGCCGCGGCCUGGCUGCUCGUGAUGAGCCCUGCGGCGGGGCAGAGCCCGAGGGGCGCCUCAGCCGGGCGGCACGGCGGCCGGCCCGCCCGCCCCAGCCAGCGCCGGGCGGGCAGGGCGGCGGCGGCGGGGCCCGGGGGCGGCCGGGGGAGCGGCACUCACCCAGAUCGUCCUUCCCCAGCGGCACCUCGGCCAUGACAGCGGGCAUGACGAACGAGAAGGUUUUGCGGUUGAAGUAGUAGAGCGUGUAUCCAACGAACAUGGCCGUGAAGAUCACGGCCCGGUACCGCCCGUACCCGCCGGCCGCCAUCCCGACGCGCUCCUCCGCGGCCGGGCGGGGACGGGAGAGGCGGCCCGGCCCCGCGGGCGGCGACCCCAGGGACGACGGGAGCGGAGGGACCGGCGGGCGCCCCGGGACGCGGCCGCGGCCCCGCGCCUCACCGCCCCGCCCGGAAGGCCCGCCCCGCCGCGCCUAUUGGCCGCCAGGAGCCGCGCCCCGCCCCGAUGCGCCCCGCCCCGCGGUCCCCGCCGCCCCCGCCGCCCGGCGGCUGCGUUCCGCCUCCCCGCUCACCCCGGCGCAAACCUGAAAGAGCCCCUCGGGAAGUGUCGCUUUUAUUUUUGGUUGAAGAGGCCAAAAAAAUAAAUGGAGCACGACAUCAGAUGCACAUUCACAGGCGGCCGCGGGAGCCGAGGGGAGACGCCGCUGGCGCAGGGCGGGGGGGGGGCUCCCGCGGCGCCGGAGGGCGGCGGCCCCGGCGGGAGCGCCGGGGGCCGGCGGGUGGCUCCGGGUAACCCUGCCAGCGUCGCUGCUGCCUCCCGCCGCGGCCCCUCGGCCCUCGGCUGUUGCUCCGAGCGCAAGGCGCGCCAACGCCUUGCUUGGGGCGCUCUGGGCACGGAGCGCCGCCGUCUCCCAGCUUAUUUUAUAGUACACGAUGGGCAGAAGCGUUUUGUCAAGUCUCCAUUCGCGGUUUCCAGAGAGGGAUGGGCUUAACAGCCGCCUACAGAAAACAGACACUCUUAUCCUGAAACCUGCAGCAUCCGCCGCCCCUGUUCUGCUCCACCAUCGCCUGAAUCCGAGCAGGAAUACACCUCCCGUUCCCUGAAAUCACGCAACUCCUUUAAGCCAGAGCCUCGUAUGCCGAGACACCACCAUCUCAACUUAUACCCUUCUGCAUUAAUCCCGUCUAUCUGCACCAGAGGAGGCGUGGCACAGAGUUCAUGGCCCAAGUCACUUCCCAAAGCUCAAGAUGUUUCUUUACUGCUUUCUCUCAACAGAAGAGUCACUUUGGUGACCUCUGUACUGAAACUGAGACAACUGACGGUGGGCACGCUGCCACCUUUAAAGACAUAAGAAAACCAAAAAAACAAUUCACUAAGUUAGUAGCGGCAAAAUCCCCAGAACGAAAAAAAUAAAAUUUACAUCUCUAUCCCAUGGUGUUGUCAGGCUGGUUGUUGGGUUCCAUUUGCAUCAUGACUAACCAGGUCCAUUAUAAAAACAAGAAAGUAACCAUGAAAUAAAUAGAC
Phalacrocorax carbo (great cormorant) is the source of this 2925-nucleotide non-coding RNA. NCBI's taxonomy places the organism in Eukaryota, Metazoa, Chordata, Aves, Suliformes, Phalacrocoracidae. The record is from RefSeq and is a predicted model, not a curated record.